Molecule: ribosomal RNA, 462 nt
Filed under: uncultured bacterium
Lineage: Bacteria
Description: partial 16S ribosomal RNA
Rfam family: Bacterial small subunit ribosomal RNA
Source: RNAcentral
GACGAACGCUGGCGGCGUGCUUAACACAUGCAAGUCGAACGGAAAGGCCCUUCGGGGUACUCGAGUGGCGAACGGGUGAGUAACACGUGGGUGAUCUGCCCUGCACUUUGGGAUAAGCCUGGGAAACUGGGUCUAAUACCGAAUAGGACCACGCGCUUCAUGGUGUGUGGUGGAAAGCCUUUGCGGUGUGGGAUGGGCCCGCGGCCUAUCAGCUUGUUGGUGGGGUAAUGGCCUACCAAGGCGACGACGGGUAGCCGGCCUGAGAGGGUGACCGGCCACACUGGGACUGAGCUACGGCCCAGACUCCUACGGGAGGCAGCAGUGGGGAAUAUUGCACAAUGGGCGCAAGCCUGAUGCAGCGACGCCGCGUGAGGGAUGACGGCCUUCGGGUUGUAAACCUCUUUCAAUAGGGACGAAGCGCAAGUGACGGUACCUAUAGAAGAAGCACCGGCCAACUACGUG